Passer domesticus (house sparrow) is the source of this 1444-nucleotide long non-coding RNA. RefSeq lists it as uncharacterized. The record is from RefSeq and is a predicted model, not a curated record. The transcript is spliced from 2 exons. Lineage: Eukaryota; Metazoa; Chordata; Aves; Passeriformes; Passeridae.
AAUACAAUUGCAAUAUUUUCAUACAAAGUGAAGUUAAUGGAACAUAGUAACAACAAGAAUUGUCUGACACUUCCAUAAAUAUUUUUACAGAAACAUCUACACAACUUCUGGACUUCAGCUUUUGUUAUACAGGUCCAACUUUAAAAGUGAGGAACCUUUUGAUUAGUUUUCCUUACAGAUAAAUCAGUGUCUCCCAGUCUCUUCCUCUCUUGCUCAAUGAUUGACUCCAAGACCUUGUAGUAGAGCAUCUCAGCACGACGAAAAUGUUUACUAGCAACAUCUGCAGGAAGUUAAAUAGAAGCAAUAUUGUAAAAUGCAAUAAAAAAUUAUUACAUUCUUCAUCUUCACAUACAGAAAUGCAACAAUAGCUUGUGUGGAUUUGUGUGCUGCUGUGGAUACAAUACUUUCAGGACUAAACCAGUAAAUUUCAAGUUAAUGUAGGAAUCCUUCUCCUACACUGCACUGAUUUGUGAAUGCAGAGCAGAGUAAUUUGCUACUGAGCACAGAUUUUGGGUAUCAGCAUUACAUCACCAUGCAUAAGAACAAUCCUUAAUGUUGCUGUAAUAGACACAAUGCAAAUUCAGAAAAUGUACCUGUAUGGAUCCACCUUGCACUGUGCAACAAAAAGCAGUGAAGCAACUAAGCUGACAAGAACAAAGGAAGGCCUUAUUAAGAAACAAGGUCAAGAUCAUCUUCCUUAUAUUCAAUCCAUCUUCAGGCACUUCAGCUAUCAAGACAACUUUGCAAAUCAUGUUUUUGUGUUUAUACUGGCAGGAUUUUAAUACCUUUACUAAUCCAUCCUCAUAUGUAAGCCAAAGUUGCUGUUGGGUUUUUAAAGACUACAGUUACUCGGAUUUUCCUUACCAGCACAGAAAUCCAUGCCAUCACUAAUAAUCUUAUACUUGAGAGAAAAAGUGGUACACUUAUAAGUCCUUUUCAUUUCACUCUCUAGUGCUGAAAGUACGAUCAAAUUCCAGCAAUUCAAGCUAUGGCUGAUUAUAAAAUUUUACAGAGUAUUGAAAUUUGCUAUGUCUUAAGAGCAUAGGAAAAGGCAAGAGAAGUAGAAAAGACAUUUGUGCUAAAGCAUAACCUAUAUGUAAAACUUAAUUACAAGAGAUGGAUGUGUAUGCAUUUUAUGGGUAAGUGAAAUAUUUCCCACCUUUGGAAAAGUUACUGAAUUCUCCUUCAGACUGAGUGCUCUGACAGUACACAUCAUGCAUUUCUUUAACUCUGUUUGCAAUGGAUUGAGAAGGAUCUCUGGAGCAUGACCUGAAAAUAGAAACUAAACAUUUUCAGUUCCUACUAAGACCAAAACCACCCUAUUUUUUAAUAUGUUGAGAGCAUAAAAAAUGGAAACAUAUUGCACAGCAAUACAAACAGACCUAAAUGUGGCUAACUGCAAAACAGUUUAUACAUAUGGAGAAUAAAAUUUGGUUUGCAUCUC